This is a long non-coding RNA of Coregonus clupeaformis (lake whitefish), 257 nucleotides long. RefSeq lists it as uncharacterized. Lineage: Eukaryota; Metazoa; Chordata; Actinopteri; Salmoniformes; Salmonidae. The record is from RefSeq and is a predicted model, not a curated record. The transcript has 3 exons.
CAUGGCACAAAGAUGCACUGUCAAUACGUUCGGUUCCAGUUCCAGUUCCAGCGGCAGCGCGGACAACAUCUGCAAGAUAUUACGGGGGACGAGUGGUGAGACCGCAAGAGAUCAAGCUGGAUGGGAUGGUGAUCACAUCAACAGACAAUUCUCAGAGACAGAUCUCAAGGGUUCUGGAUGACAGGGUCUGUUUUUCUCCAACAGAGUGAGUGUUCAUGGAAAUGUAAAAUUUAAUUAUGGAUCUGGAAGUGAGUCAG